Molecule: ribosomal RNA, 445 nt
Filed under: uncultured bacterium
Lineage: Bacteria
Description: partial 16S ribosomal RNA
Rfam family: Bacterial small subunit ribosomal RNA
Source: RNAcentral
CCAGACUCCUACGGGAGGCAGCAGUGGGGAAUAUUGCACAAUGGGGGAAACCCUGAUGCAGCGACGCCGCGUGAGUGAAGAAGUAUUUCGGUAUGUAAAGCUCUAUCAGCAGGGAAGAAGAAAGACGGUACCUGACUAAGAAGCCCCGGCUAACUACGUGCCAGCAGCCGCGGUAAUACGUAGGGGGCAAGCGUUAUCCGGAUUUACUGGGUGUAAAGGGAGCGUAGACGGAGAAGCGAGUCUGAAGUGAAAGCCCGUGGCUUAACCACGGGACUGCUUUGGAAACUGUUUGACUAGAGUGCUGGAGAGGUAAGUGGAAUUCCUAGUGUAGCGGUGAAAUGCGUAGAUAUUAGGAGGAACACCAGUGGCGAAGGCGGCUUACUGGACAGUAACUGACGUUGAGGCUCGAAAGCGUGGGGAGCAAACAGGAUUAGAUACCCGCGUA